GGGGCUGGGGCUCAGCGGUAGAGCACUCGCCUGGCAUGUGUGAGACCCUGGGUUCGAUCCUCAGCACCA
This 69-nucleotide transfer RNA is filed under the name Urocitellus parryii (Arctic ground squirrel). RNAcentral describes it as "Spermophilus parryii (Arctic ground squirrel) tRNA". It matches the Rfam family "tRNA". Rfam says of the family: Transfer RNA (tRNA) molecules are approximately 80 nucleotides in length. The record is from Rfam by way of RNAcentral. RNAcentral also lists the same sequence under 1 other name. Lineage: Eukaryota; Metazoa; Chordata; Mammalia; Rodentia; Sciuridae.